RNAcentral lists this ribosomal RNA (432 nucleotides) under uncultured bacterium. RNAcentral describes it as "partial 16S ribosomal RNA". It matches the Rfam family "Bacterial small subunit ribosomal RNA", at positions 29 to 507 of the family's 1533-position model. The record is from RNAcentral.
ACGCACGCUGGCGGCAGGCCUAACCCAUGCAAGUCGCGCGGACCCUUCGGGGUUAGCGGCGGACGGGUGGGUAACGCGUGGGAACGUGCCCUUUGCUUCGGAAUAGCCCUGGGAAACUGGGAGUAAUACCGGAUACGCCCUUUUGGGGAAAGAUUUAUCGGCGAAGGAUCGGCCCGCGUUGGAUUAGGUAGUUGGUGGGGUAAUGGCCUACCAAGCCGACGAUCCAUAGCUGGUUUGAGAGGAUGAUCAGCCACACUGGGACUGAGACACGGCCCAGACUCCUACGGGAGGCAGCAGUGGGGAAUCUUAGACAAUGGGGGAAACCCUGAUCUAGCCAUGCCGCGUGAGCGAUGAAGGCCUUAGGGUUGUAAAGCUCUUUCACCGGGGAAGAUAAUGACGGUACCCGGAGAAGAAGCCCCGGCUAACUCCGUG